UACGUAGGGGGCAAGCGUUGUCCGGAAUCAUUGGGCGUAAAGCGCGCGUAGGCGGCCCUGUAAGUCCGCUGUAAAAGUCAAAGGCUCAACCUUUGAAAGCCGGUGGAUACUGCAGGGCUAGAGUCCGGAAGAGGCGAGUGGAAUUCCUGGUGUAGCGGUGGAAUGCGCAGAUAUCAGAAGGAACAUCAGUGGCGAAAGCGGCUUCCUGGUCCAGUACCGGCGUUCAGGCACGAAAGCGUGGGGAGCAAACAGG
This 253-nucleotide ribosomal RNA is filed under the name uncultured bacterium. Its description in RNAcentral is "partial 16S ribosomal RNA". It matches the Rfam family "Bacterial small subunit ribosomal RNA", at positions 524 to 776 of the family's 1533-position model. The record is from RNAcentral.